Trifolium pratense (red clover) is the source of this 2124-nucleotide long non-coding RNA. RefSeq lists it as uncharacterized. The record is from RefSeq and is a predicted model, not a curated record. The transcript has 4 exons. NCBI's taxonomy places the organism in Eukaryota, Viridiplantae, Streptophyta, Magnoliopsida, Fabales, Fabaceae.
CUCAUUCACUCAAAAAAAAAAAAACCCUUAACAUUCAAACUUUACUUUCCCAAAAUUUCACUCACCCUUUUUCGUUCACCAUAAACCCUAAAAUUGUUUGUGGCUUUGUAUUGAUGGGGGGAUACAAAGCUUUCACCCUAGUUCAGAUCCACCCUCUUUCACCCUCGUUUCCAUUCUGGUUCCGAUUCAUACUCCAUCACCCUCGUUUUCGCUCCGGAAACCACCGCCCUCCAAGAUCGUUCCUCCACGAAUGCGUUUUGGAUUAGCUUUGCCGAUGUCGGAGCUUUGUGUCUCCAUCUUCGCCUCUCUGUCACAACCUUCGUUUUUAUUCUUCUUCUUCAUUGGCUGUGAGGACCUAGACCCAUGUGUUGAUACUGUUUUAAGAGGAGACAUGGGACAUUUAGACCUAAAUAUCGAAGCCUCUUCGCGUUUCUCGGUCACAGUCUCUUCAACGUGAUUAUGGGUCGUAAGUUUUUGCUACCUCUCUUUUGUACUUUGUCAAAUUGGAUAAAUAAAUUAUGUGUAUUAGUAAUUGUAUUUUUUUAUGAUGUGGCUUUUGUACUUAGUCAAGCAUCUGAAUCAUUUAUAAGAUGAAUAAAGCAACAACAAAUAAAUGAAACAUUUUCAUGAUGAGUUAUAUGCAUUUUCACUCUUUAACUCUUCGCUUUGAAAACAUCUGAAUCAUUAUGUUAUUGUUUUUGCUCUACGGUGAACAUUUUUGUUGAUCUAGGAAGUGUUUGAUAGGAACCAAUGAUUUGUUUUUUAGCAAAAAGGUUUUGACACAUAUACUUUAAUGAUUUGUUUUGUUAAAAGCUGGAGUUGAUGGCUUAAUAGUUGUAUUGCGUAUAUUUUCAUUGCACUUUGGUCUCUUUAUUUCAUUGAACUAUAUCCAUUUUCCUAGCUUUUCUUUUUGGCUUGUAUCACCGUGUUUUCAUAGCUUUUCUUUUCAUUGAACAUAUAUCUUUAGGCUUAUAUUGCUUGUUAGUUGCUAGUUGUCAAUACACAUUAGCCAAUUCCCUUAAUCCUUAAAGUAGUUUUUUAGAAUAAUCACUUGGGAUAGCUGCUUUCUCUGAGUUUUUAUGUAGUUUCUUUUGCUUUUGAUACUCAUAUAUAGUAUAUUUGCAAAUGUAUAUGUGUGAAUAUGUGUUCUUUGUUGAUGUAUGAGUUAGAGUGGAGUGGAUUUAUUUUCACUCAUUGAUGCCUCAACCAUGUUGUAUUUAAAUAUGCAGUCCAAUAAGCAUGCUAUUCGCUUUCUCCUUGUUGAUAAUAUGAUAAGAGGCUGUCCACAUAUUGUCUUUCUUUAGCUUUUCCCUUUGUAAUAAUUGGGAGUCGAGAUGUCCAUUAUAUAUAUAUAUAUAUUGAGUGUUAUUAAUUGUGACUUGUUUUUAUUAUUGAUAUUGACUUCAAUACAAAGCUGAUUGUAAAAACUACUUUUUGAUGGUGUUGUUGGGACUUCGUUUGUUCAGUUCUGCAGGUCCUCUGAUGCCCUGAAUAGGUCAUCCUUUGCUGCUCUGCUUUUCUUCUUCUAUCAGUCUAGCUGUUUCCAUUCUAAUAUGUUGUGUUGGUCUUCUUGUUUGCAGAUGGCUGAAGCAGUGCUUCAGUGAUGUUGGUGUAGCAGAUUUUCUGCUGUCAUAUCUUUUUUGGGGCACUUGUUUAUGAAAAACCUUCCUACAAGCUUAAAGAUUCAAGCUUAUCGCAAUGAAAAAGUCAGGACUUUCAUAAUGUAUAUAUAAGAACUGACAGGAGAUUAUAUGUUAAAUGUACUAGUUACAAGGUAUUUGUUCUUCUUAUAGAGAACUAGUUGGUGUACAUUAGUUACACUAAAUCUUGCUUACCAUAUACUGUAGUUUUAUUAAGUUUUUUAUUCAUGAUGGUUAUGUGUGCGUUGUAUUAAAGUAUGGCUGCAACUUACUUUUGAGAUUGAACAAGUUUGAACAUAGUCAAUUGACAGCAAUUUUGCUAGUGCUAGUAGUGUACCUUGUUAUUUUUAGUUUCUUAAAAAGAUUUUUUUACUCUAACUGUGCAUUAUGACUUUUUGUGCUGGAUUUGAUGUGUCAUUCCUAUAUUGUUGUAUUAGAUGCAAUAAUUAUUGGGUGUAGUUUUUUUAUAAUUUUUUUAAAAAAA